Molecule: small nucleolar RNA, 149 nt
Organism: Vitis riparia (riverbank grape)
Lineage: Eukaryota; Viridiplantae; Streptophyta; Magnoliopsida; Vitales; Vitaceae
Product: small nucleolar RNA snR34
Exons: 1
Source: RefSeq, a predicted model, not a curated record
CAAUAAAAAAUACAUUUUUCACAGGUAACCAUAGGACAAAUCAUUGACUGCAUCAGUAAUCAUGUGCCAGAGUUGCAUAAAUUUUUUGAAACAUCAUUUUCCUAAUUGACUAAAAGAGGAUGUGUAUGAAUAGAUGGUAGGCCAUCUCU